AUGAUGUUCCAUGCACCAGAAAGCUACAAACAAACUUGCAUGACAAAAAAAGAGUUAACGGUUUUUUGCUUCCGAAAUAAAUCUUUACCUAAUAAUAAAACAAACUGGGUUUCUUUCGUCCGUCAUGGCAUUUUUCAGAAAAGUCCCUCUAUUUCAGAGAAUUCAACCUGCAGUCCUGUUAUAAGUCAAAACGAAUUGUUUUUUCGUAUUUUACACAAAAGUCUCUGUAUUUUCUUGAAAUCAACCCGCCGUCCGGAUUUAAGUCACACCCGAACCGUUAUUUUACGUUUUUCAAAAAAACCCUGA
Molecule: ribosomal RNA, 306 nt
Filed under: Triticum aestivum (bread wheat)
Lineage: Eukaryota; Viridiplantae; Streptophyta; Magnoliopsida; Poales; Poaceae
Description: partial small subunit ribosomal RNA
Source: RNAcentral